CAGCCCUAAACGAUGCGCGUUAGGUGUAUCGGUGACCACGAGUCACCGAGGUGCCGAAGGGAAACCGUGAAACGUGCCGCCUGGGAAGUACGGUCGCAAGGCUGAAACUUAAAGGAAUUGGCGGGGGGAGCACCACAACGGGUGGAGCCUGCGGUUUAAUUGGACUCAACGCCGGGAAGCUUACCGGAUAAGACAGCGGAAUGAUUGCCGGGCUGAAGACCCUGCAUGACCAGCUGAGAGGAGGUGCAUGGCGUAGUCGUGU
Molecule: ribosomal RNA, 262 nt
Filed under: uncultured archaeon
Lineage: Archaea
Description: partial 16S ribosomal RNA
Rfam family: Archaeal small subunit ribosomal RNA
Source: RNAcentral